UACGUAGGGGGCAAGCGUUGUCCGGAAUUAUUGGGCGUAAAGCGCACGUAGGCGGCUUCGCAAGUCGGAUGUGAAAUCCCUCGGCUCAACCGAGGACGUGCAUACGAAACUGCGGAGCUUGAGUGCUGAAGAGGAUCGCGGAAUUCCCGGUGUAGAGGUGAAAUUCGUAGAUAUCGGGAGGAACACCAGUGGCGAAGGCGGCGAUCUGGGCAGACACUGACGCUGAGGUGCGAAAAGCGUUGGGGAGCAAACAGG
RNAcentral lists this ribosomal RNA (255 nucleotides) under uncultured bacterium. Its description in RNAcentral is "partial 16S ribosomal RNA". It matches the Rfam family "Bacterial small subunit ribosomal RNA", at positions 524 to 776 of the family's 1533-position model. The record is from RNAcentral.